GCCGGGCGCGGUGGCGCACGCCUGUAGUCCCAGCUACUCGGGAGGCUGAGACAGGAGGAUCGCUUGAGUCCAGGAGUUCUGGGCUGUAGUGCGCUAUGCCGAUCGGGUGUCCGCACUAAGUUCGGCAUCAAUAUGGUGACCUCCCGGGAGCGGGGGGCCACCAGGUUGCCUAAGGAGGGGUGAACCGGCCCAGGUCGGAAACGGAGCAGGUCAAAUCCAAAGUUAUGCUAUAAUAUCAAUAAAUCCAGAAUACUUCCUGGGCUAUACCAAAGUACAAGAGGGUUUGACAUAGACAUAAUUGUAAUCGGUACAAAUCUUUCUUU
Unclassified non-coding RNA from Mesocricetus auratus (golden hamster), 323 nucleotides. It matches the Rfam family "Metazoan signal recognition particle RNA". Rfam says of the family: The signal recognition particle (SRP) is a universally conserved ribonucleoprotein. It is involved in the co-translational targeting of proteins to membranes. The eukaryotic SRP consists of a 300-nucleotide 7S RNA and six proteins: SRPs 72, 68, 54, 19, 14, and 9. The record is from Ensembl. NCBI's taxonomy places the organism in Eukaryota, Metazoa, Chordata, Mammalia, Rodentia, Cricetidae.